This 301-nucleotide ribosomal RNA is filed under the name uncultured bacterium. RNAcentral's name for it is "partial 16S ribosomal RNA". It matches the Rfam family "Bacterial small subunit ribosomal RNA", at positions 509 to 807 of the family's 1533-position model. The record is from RNAcentral.
CAGCAGCCGCGGGAAUACGAAGGGUGCAAGCGUUAAUCGGAGUUACUGGGCGUAAAGCGUGCGUAGGCGGUUUGUUAAGUCUGCUGUGAAAUCCCCGGGCUCAACCUGGGAAUGGCAAUGGAUACUGGCGAGCUAGAGUGUGUCAGAGGAUGGUGGAAUUCCCGGUGUAGCGGUGAAAUGCGUAGAGAUCGGGAGGAACAUCAGUGGCGAAGGCGGCCAUCUGGGACAACACUGACGCUGAGGCACGAAAGCGUGGGGAGCAAACAGGAUUAGAUACCCGCGUAGUCCCUGUCUCUUAUAC